ACGUAGGUGGCAAGCGUUGUCCGGAAUUAUUGGGCGUAAAGCGCGCGCAGGCGGUCUCUUAAGUCUGAUGUGAAAGCCCACGGCUCAACCGUGGAGGGUCAUUGGAAACUGGGGGACUUGAGUACUGGAGAGGAGAGUGGAAUUCCAUGUGUAGCGGUGAAAUGCGUAGAUAUAUGGAGGAACACCAGUGGCGAAGGCGGCUCUCUGGCCAGUAACUGACGCUGAGGCGCGAAAGCGUGGGGAGCAAACAGGA
RNAcentral lists this ribosomal RNA (253 nucleotides) under uncultured prokaryote. Its description in RNAcentral is "partial 16S ribosomal RNA". It matches the Rfam family "Bacterial small subunit ribosomal RNA", at positions 525 to 777 of the family's 1533-position model. The record is from RNAcentral.